Molecule: ribosomal RNA, 431 nt
Filed under: uncultured bacterium
Lineage: Bacteria
Description: partial 16S ribosomal RNA
Rfam family: Bacterial small subunit ribosomal RNA
Source: RNAcentral
AGCGAACGCUGGCGGCAGGCUUAACACAUGCAAGUCGAGCGCCCCGCAAGGGGAGCGGCAGACGGGAGAGUAACACGUGGGAACAUACCUUUUGGUUCGGAACAACUGAGGGAAACUUCAGCUAAUACCGGAUAAGCCCUUACGGGGAAAGAUUUAUCGCCGAAAGAUUGGCCCGCGUCUGAUUAGCUAGUUGGUGAGGUAACGGCUCACCAAGGCGACGAUCAGUAGCUGGUCUGAGAGGAUGAUCAGCCUCACUGGGACUGAGACACGGCCCAGACUCCUACGGGAGGCAGCAGUGGGGAAUAUUGGACAAUGGGGGCAACCCUGAUCCAGCCAUGCCGCGUGAGUGAUGAAGGCCUUAGGGUUGUAAAGCUCUUUUGCCUGGGAAGAUAAUGACGGUACCGGGAGAAUAAGCCCCGGCUAACUUCGUG